RNAcentral lists this ribosomal RNA (322 nucleotides) under uncultured Pseudomonadota bacterium. Its description in RNAcentral is "bacterial SSU rRNA". It matches the Rfam family "Bacterial small subunit ribosomal RNA", at positions 28 to 351 of the family's 1533-position model. Lineage: Bacteria; Pseudomonadati; Pseudomonadota. The record is from RNAcentral.
GACGAACGCUGGCGGCAUGCCUUACACAUGCAAGUCGAACGGUAACGCGGGGGCAACCCUGGCGACGAGUGGCGAACGGGUGAGUAAUACAUCGGAACAUGUCCUGUAGCGGGGGGAUAACCUGUCGAAAGAUAGGCUAAUACCGCAUACGAUCUACGGAUGAAAGCGGGGGACCGCAAGGCCUCGCACUAUAGGAGUGGCCGAUGUCGGAUUAGCUAGUUGGUGGGGUAAAAGCUUACCAAGGCGACGAUCCGUAGCUGGUCUGAGAGGACGAUCAGCCACACUGGAACUGAGACACGGUCCAGACUCCUACGGGUGGCUG